This 627-nucleotide ribosomal RNA is filed under the name uncultured bacterium. Its description in RNAcentral is "bacterial SSU rRNA". It matches the Rfam family "Bacterial small subunit ribosomal RNA", at positions 153 to 755 of the family's 1533-position model. The record is from RNAcentral.
GAAACCCGGACUAAUACCACAUGAUGUCCCAACCUUUCAUGAGGAUGGGACCAAAGAGGGCCUCUGCUUGCAUGCUCUCGCCCAAGGAGGGGGUCGCUUCGUAUCAGCUUGUUGGUAGGGUAACGGCCUACCAAGGCUACGACGCGUAGUGGGUCUGAGAGGACGACCCGCCACAUUGGGAUUGAGAUACGGCCCAGACUCCUACGGGAGGCAGCAGUGGGGAAUAUUGCGCAAUGGCCGAAAGGCUGACGCAGCGACGCCGCGUGUGGGAGUAAGCCCUUCGGGGUGUAAACCACUGUCAGAGGGGAAGAACUCCGUCAUUUCGAAUAGGGAUGGCGGCUGACGGUACCCUCAAAGGAAGCGCCGGCUAACUCCGUGCCAGCAGCCGCGGUAAGACGGAGGGCGCGAGCGUUGUUCGGAAUUACUGGGCGUAAAGCGCGGGCAGGCGGCCCGUUAAGUCUUCUGUGAAAACCCGGAGCUCAACUCCGUGGAAUGCAGGGGAAACUGGCGGGCUAGAGACCAGUAGAGGCUAGCGGAAUUCCUGGUGUAGCGGUGGAAUGCGUAGAUAUCAGGAAGAACACCUGUGGCGAAGGCGGCUAGCUGGGCUGGAUCUGACGCUCAUCCGCG